RNAcentral lists this ribosomal RNA (633 nucleotides) under uncultured cyanobacterium. RNAcentral describes it as "bacterial SSU rRNA". It matches the Rfam family "Bacterial small subunit ribosomal RNA", at positions 1 to 683 of the family's 1533-position model. Lineage: Bacteria; Bacillati; Cyanobacteriota. The record is from RNAcentral.
GCCCUUGAGUUUGAUCCUGGCUCAGGAUGAACGCUGGCGGCGUGCUUAACACAUGCAAGUCGAACGAACCUUCGGGUUAGUGGCGGACGGGUGAGUAACGCGUGAGAAUCUGCCCUCAGGAGGGGGAUAACGGUUGGAAACGACCGCUAAUACCCCAUAUGCCGCGAGGUGAAAUGAAUUUCGCCUGAGGAUGAGCUCGCGUCUGAUUAGCUAGUUGGUGGGGUAAAGGCCUACCAAGGCAUCGAUCAGUAGCUGGUCUGAGAGGAUGAUCAGCCACACUGGGACUGAGACACGGCCCAGACUCCUACGGGAGGCAGCAGUGGGGAAUUUUCCGCAAUGGGCGAAAGCCUGACGGAGCAACGCCGCGUGAGGGAUGAAGGCCUCUGGGCUGUAAACCUCUUUUAUCAAGGAAGAAGAUCUGACGGUACUUGAUGAAUAAGCCACGGCUAAUUCCGUGCCAGCAGCCGUGGUAAUACGGGAGUGGCAAGCGUUAUCCGGAAUUAUUGGGCGUAAAGCGUCCGCAGGCGGCCCUUCAAGUCUGCUGUUAAAAAGUGGAGCUUAACUCCAUCAUGGCAGUGGAAACUGUUGGGCUUGAGUGUGGUAGGGGCAGAGGGAAUUCCCGGUGUAGCGGUG